Molecule: ribosomal RNA, 420 nt
Filed under: Staphylococcus aureus
Lineage: Bacteria; Bacillati; Bacillota; Bacilli; Caryophanales; Staphylococcaceae
Description: bacterial SSU rRNA
Rfam family: Archaeal small subunit ribosomal RNA
Source: RNAcentral
CGAAAACUGCACAAUGUGGGAAACCACGAUGCGGGAAACCCAAGUGCCAGCACUAUGUGUUGGCUGUCCUCGACUGUUCGUAAGUCGGGAAGAAAGUGCUGGGUAAGACGGGUGCCAGCCGCCGCGGUAAUACCAGCACCCCGAGUGGUCGGGACGAUUAUUGGGCCUAAAGCAUCCGUAGCCGGUCUGUUAGAUCCCUGGGUAAAUCGAUGCGCUCAACGCAUCGAAUUCCGGGUAGACCGGCAGGCUCGAGACCGGGAGAGGUGUAGGCUACUCGAUGGGUAGGGGUAAAAUCCGUUGAUCCAUUGAAGACCACCAGUGGCGAAGGCGGCUUGCCAGAACGCGCUCGACGGUGAGGGAUGAAAGCUGGGGGAGCAAACCGGAUUAGAAACCCCUGUAGUCCGGGUGUAAACGCUGCAG